AAGAAAGAUGAGGCCCCUGGUGCAGAUGCUGCAGAGAAGACUGAACAAGGCGCCGAAGGCCAAGAGCAGACUAAUAAUGUCGCUGCCCCAGAAUCAGAAAAUAAAUCAGAUGUGAAACCAGCUGAAUCUGAAGUAGCUCCACUAGCACCUGUAGUAGAGGAAGAGAAGAAAGAGGAGAAAACUGAGAACAGCCUGGUAGCUGAACCCGCAGUGCCCCCAGCAGCUGAACCCGUGGUGCUCCUGGCAGCAUCUUCAGAGGGAGAGAAGAAAGAGGAUGGUGGCGUGACCGAACCUGCUGCGCUGCCUGUGGCCGAAACGAAGGCAGAUGCUCCUCCAGCAGAGGCAGCAAAGGAGGCUGAGAAUCUGGGGCAGGCGAAC
RNAcentral lists this long non-coding RNA (378 nucleotides) under Setaria italica (foxtail millet). RNAcentral's name for it is "long non-coding RNA (SITA_LNC006573)". Lineage: Eukaryota; Viridiplantae; Streptophyta; Magnoliopsida; Poales; Poaceae. The record is from RNAcentral.